Molecule: non-coding RNA, 524 nt
Organism: Meleagris gallopavo (turkey)
Lineage: Eukaryota; Metazoa; Chordata; Aves; Galliformes; Phasianidae
Source: RefSeq, a predicted model, not a curated record
AAUUUAUCUCUAUCGUGUACAUACAUUUGUCUAGUUGCUGAUGCAGUCCUGAUGUACUGAUUGGUUGGAACUUCACUACCGGAUGAGAGUAUUUUCUGUGUAGAGCACUCUGGAGGAAUGAACAAAGUAAUUGAGAGAGUCUUGUAGGGCUUCUUCAUUGCUCUUCUAAGUUGGCAGUACUGGUACAAGGAGCCAGGAAGGAGCCCAGAUAAAUACCUCUGCUAUGGAGAAGAGAGUGCUAAUACAGCUGAUCCUGCUGAGCCUGGUGGUUGAGAGCUGCCAAGGGUGCUACUGCGAACAUUAUCCAUGGGGGUCAUGGUCCAGCUGUUCAAAAACCUGCAAUUAUGGCACGCAGACAAGGCACAGGCAAAUAAAAAUGGAUGAAUAUUACAACCAAAACUUCUGUGACCAGCUGUGCACCAAGCAGGAAUCUCGUGCAUGUAACCAACAAACCUGUCCUAUCAACUGCCAACUUGGAGACUUCAGCUCUUGGUCAGAAUGUGACCCAUGCGUUAAAAAACAAG